Molecule: ribosomal RNA, 443 nt
Filed under: uncultured bacterium
Lineage: Bacteria
Description: partial 16S ribosomal RNA
Rfam family: Bacterial small subunit ribosomal RNA
Source: RNAcentral
CCUACGGGGGGCAGCAGUGGGGGAUAUUGGACACUGGGGGAAACCCUGAUCCAGCGACGCCGCGUGAGUGAAGAAGUAUUUCGGUAUGUAAAGCUCUGUCAGCAGGGAAGAAAGAAAUGACGGUACCUGACCAAGAAGCCCCGGCUAACUACGUGCCAGCAGCCGCGGUAAUACGUAGGGGGCAAGCGUUAUCCGGAAUUACUGGGUGUAAAGGGAGCGUAGACGGUGAUGCAAGUCUGGAGUGAAAGGCGGGGGCCGCACCCCCGGACUGCUCUGGAAACUGUGUAACUUGAGUGCAGGUGAGGUAAGCGGAAUGCCUAGUGUAGCGGUGAAAUGCGUAGAUAUUAGGAGGAACACCAGUGGCGAAGGCGGCUUACUGGACUGUAACUGACGUUGAGGCUCGAAAGCGUGGGGAGCAAACAGGAUUAGAUACCCGAGUAGUC